GGCCGCAGAGCCUCCCUCCCGGACGGCUGCGGGCUUGGGGCUGCGAGCUGGCUGUCGCCCCGCCUCCCACGCCGAGUCUGCAUCCAGCGUGCCUUCCUCGGUGUGUGCCCCAGCCAGUGGUCACCUCUCCCUGGACAGCAGACCUAUUGUACGGAGGGUCUGCGGCCCAACCGCUCGCCUGCCUGGUGUUGCGGGGCGUGGGGGAGCUCGGCUCUGCCGGCGGCCAGCUGAGAAUCCACGUGUGUCAGCUUUCUUUUUGGUCCUCUGAGUCGCCUGUCUGCCUGCCUCUGUUUCUCCGAGUUGUCUAAACUGCCUGUGACAGGCACAUAUAAGGGGUGUAAACAGAAGAGCUCUGGGAUGGAGUGUUCUCAGCAAGUCCCCUUCCUGUCUCAUAGGGCCAUGGCAGGAAGCUGGUCCUUAAUUAGAAGCUACCAGGAUGGGCUUUCACUGGUCUGGCCCACAGCUCUGAGCAGCCCACUAACCCCAGACAAGAUGCCCAUGCCUUGGACUCCCAGGGUUGCCGUCUGUGCCUGGGUCCUCACUCCUAGACUCUGGCAGCUAGCAUGUUCCCACUGGGAGAAGCAGACACUCCCUCACCCUGCGAUUUAAACAUUAAUAAGAAGGAGGUCACACGUGUAUGCUUUGACACACCCUCCAAAUACCUAACAAAUACCUAACAAAUAGGCAUUCAUAGGACAAAGACAAGUUACAAACCUGGAUAAACAUCUCAGGGACAAGAGAGAGAACUGGUAAAGCAAAGUAUGGAGAAGAGCCAAAGCCGAGGGCCUGUGGGGGAAGGGGGGCUGAAACAUUUUCAGAGAAUGGAGGACAGAACCAGACUCUGCCCAGCCAAGGACUGGAGCCAGGCCACCACACUUUUGAAAGGAGCCUGGGAAAAAAAGAACAAAAAGAAAAGCAGCUGAGCAGAUCUCAGGGGCUGUGGCCAAAACAAAAGCAUAUGGGCCCAGGGAAGCUGGAGAGCAGGGUCAAGCCGUCCUCUAACUCUGUGACUGAAUCUGCACGUCCUCCAGUGUGAGGGAAGAGCACCAAUUCCAAGGCCCUCAGAAGACAAGUUCUGGACCAGGAUACACUGGAUGCAGCCUCCAAACUAAAUCCCCCAGAUGUAAAAGGGGAGAGAGAGAGAGAGAGAGAGAGAGAGAGAGAGAGA
Molecule: non-coding RNA, 1168 nt
Organism: Ictidomys tridecemlineatus (thirteen-lined ground squirrel)
Lineage: Eukaryota; Metazoa; Chordata; Mammalia; Rodentia; Sciuridae
Source: RefSeq, a predicted model, not a curated record